Molecule: long non-coding RNA, 368 nt
Filed under: Hordeum vulgare
Lineage: Eukaryota; Viridiplantae; Streptophyta; Magnoliopsida; Poales; Poaceae
Description: long non-coding RNA (HVUL_LNC018694)
Source: RNAcentral
AACUGCCGGUUACCUCUGUUCUCAAGCUUUCAUGCGGUUUUUCAUUUUCUUUGAGAAUCAGGCUUUCAUGCGCGGCUAUAUACACCCACCUCUGUUUUCAACACCAUUAUUUCCUCCUUUUCCCCUCCGGUGAGAUAAAAACUUGAUGGGCCUAUACAAGUUAGAAACAAGUAAAACUUGACCUCGGAAAGUUUGGGCCAGACAGGCCUUCGUCACCACCUGCAUUUGAAUAGAAGUCAUUACUACUCGGCCCAACUGCGCGGUGGAGCCAGUGAUGGCCGGGGCGAGGACGGACAGGGCGGUGUCGCCGCUUCGUGGCCCCCGCCGUCGAUACUCCCGAUGCGCCAUCACUCCCCCGCGCAUAAAUN